UACAGAGGUCUCAAGCGUUGUUCGGAUUCAUUGGGCGUAAAGGGUGCGUAGGCGGCGGGGAAAGUCUGAUGUGAAAUCCUGGGGCUCAACCCUGGAACUGCAUUGGAUACUUCCUUGCUAGAGUACUGGAGAGGAAACUGGAAUUUACGGUGUAGCAGUGAAAUGCGUAGAGAUCGUAAGGAAGACCAGUGGCGAAGGCGAGUUUCUGGACAGUUACUGACGGCUGAGGCACGAAGGCCAGGGGAGCAAACGGGA
This 255-nucleotide ribosomal RNA is filed under the name uncultured bacterium. RNAcentral describes it as "partial 16S ribosomal RNA". It matches the Rfam family "Bacterial small subunit ribosomal RNA", at positions 524 to 777 of the family's 1533-position model. The record is from RNAcentral.